Molecule: ribosomal RNA, 484 nt
Filed under: uncultured bacterium
Lineage: Bacteria
Description: partial 16S ribosomal RNA
Rfam family: Bacterial small subunit ribosomal RNA
Source: RNAcentral
AUUGAACGCUGGCGGCAUGCUUUACACAUGCAAGUCGAACGGCAGCGCGGGCUUCGUCCUGGCGGCGAGUGGCGAACGGGUGAGUAAUGCACCGGAACGUGCCCAGCAGUGGGGGAUAGCCCAGCGAAAGCCGGAUUAAUAUCGCAUACGACCUGAGGGUGAAAGCGGGGGACCGAUAGGCCUCGCGCUAUUGGCGCGGCCGAUGUCGGAUUAGCUAGUUGGUGGGGUAAAGGCUUACCAAGGCGACGAUCCGUAGCUGGUCUGAGAGGACGACCAGCCACACUGGGACUGAGACACGGCCCAGACUCCUACGGGAGGCAGCAGUGGGGAAUUUUGGACAAUGGGGGCAACCCUGAUCCAGCCAUGCCGCGUGCGGGAAGAAGGCCUUCGGGUUGUAAACCGCUUUUGUUCGGGAAGAAAACCUCUGGGCUAAUACCCCGGGGGGAUGACGGUACCGGAAGAAUAAGCACCGGCUAACUACGUG